CCCCCCGCCCGGGGACGGGGCGGGUCCCGGCCGCGGCCCAGUCAGGCGGCGCCGCAUCGCUGGGAGACCCCGCCGCCUGCCCGGGCCCGGGCCCGGCCGCCGCUCCCCUCAGCGAGCUCCCGUUUCGGGCCUUGUCCGGCCCCGGUUCCUCCCGAUUCCUGCGUCGGUACUUACUGCCAGGUACUGCCCACGGAGGCUGGCACAAGCGAGAUCUGGUCAUGCACCCGCCUUCCUGUAAAGGGCAGCCACGCCUGACAAUUUAGAAAUAAACGCUUUAGGAGAAACAAGGGCCUAGUGCUCCUUAAGGGAUGGACAACAAGGAGAACAUGACCAACAAGACCUUUCCAUUCCUGUAGUACCUGAGCAAGGUGAGUAGCGCUGAUUCAACCAGGAGUCCAGACCAUAGCGAAGAAACAAGUCCAAGGUUGGUAAGACAAUCCACAUGCCAGGGCUAAGAUCAGGU
This 463-nucleotide long non-coding RNA is filed under the name Calidris pugnax (ruff). RNAcentral's name for it is "lncRNA (ENSCPUG00000011176.1)". Lineage: Eukaryota; Metazoa; Chordata; Aves; Charadriiformes; Scolopacidae. The record is from RNAcentral.